RNAcentral lists this ribosomal RNA (491 nucleotides) under uncultured bacterium. Its description in RNAcentral is "partial 16S ribosomal RNA". It matches the Rfam family "Bacterial small subunit ribosomal RNA", at positions 29 to 506 of the family's 1533-position model. The record is from RNAcentral.
AGUGAACGCUGGCGGUAGGCCUAACACAUGCAAGUCGAACGGCAGCACAGUAAGAGCUUGCUCUUACGGGUGGCGAGUGGCGGACGGGUGAGGAAUACAUCGGAAUCUACUUUUUCGUGGGGGAUAACGUAGGGAAACUUACGCUAAUACCGCAUACGACCUACGGGUGAAAGCAGGGGAGCUUCGGACCUUGCGCGAUUGAAUGAGCCGAUGUCGGAUUAGCUAGUUGGCGGGGUAAAGGCCCACCAAGGCGACGAUCCGUAGCUGGUCUGAGAGGAUGAUCGGCCACACUGGAACUGAGACACGGUCCAGACCCCUACGGGAGGCAGCAGUGGGGAAUAUUGAACAAUGGGCGAAAGCCUGAUCCAGCCAUACCGCGUGGGUGAAGAAGGCCUUCGGGUUGUAAAGCCCUUUUGUUGGGAAAGAAAAGCAGCAGGUUAAUACCCCGCUGUUCUGACGGUACCCAAAGAAUAAGCACCGGCUAACUUCGU